CCUACGGGAGACAGCAGUGAGGAAUAUUGGUCAAUGGGCGUAAGCCUGAACCAGCCAAGUCGCGUGAGGGAUGAAGGUUCUAUGGAUCGUAAACCUCUUUUAUAAGGGAAUAAAGUGUGGGACGUGUCCUGUUUUGUAUGUACCUUAUGAAUAAGGAUCGGCUAACUCCGUGCCAGCAGCCGCGGUAAUACGGAGGAUCCGAGCGUUAUCCGGAUUUAUUGGGUGUAAAGGGUGCGUAGGCGGCCUUUUAAGUCAGCGGUGAAAGUCUGUGGCUCAACCAUAGAAUUGCCGUUGAAACUGGGAGGCUUGAGUAUGUUUGAGGCAGGCGGAAUGCGUGGUGUAGCGGUGAAAUGCUUAGAUAUCACGCAGAACCCCGAUUGCGAAGGCAGCCUGCCAAGCCAUGACUGACGCUGAUGCACGAAAGCGUGGGGAUCAAACAGGAUUAGAUACCCGGGUAGUC
This 460-nucleotide ribosomal RNA is filed under the name uncultured bacterium. RNAcentral describes it as "partial 16S ribosomal RNA". It matches the Rfam family "Bacterial small subunit ribosomal RNA", at positions 338 to 795 of the family's 1533-position model. The record is from RNAcentral.